Molecule: transfer-messenger RNA, 368 nt
Filed under: Bacteroidota bacterium
Lineage: Bacteria; Pseudomonadati; Bacteroidota
Rfam family: transfer-messenger RNA
About the family: Bacterial tmRNA, also known as 10Sa RNA or SsrA, is named for its dual tRNA and mRNA-like properties. Its role is to liberate the mRNA from a stalled ribosome. To accomplish this part of the tmRNA is used as a reading frame that ends in a translation stop signal.
Source: RNAcentral
GGGCCCGCCCGGUUUUGACAGCGAGAGCAGUAGGAGUGUAAGCAUGUAGUGUAUUGGGAACGGAGCACUUUAAAUCUAAAUCUCAAAAUUUUAUCUGGCGAAGAGAAUUCUUACGCUAUGGCUGCUUAAUCUAAGAUUAACCAACCUUUGCAACCCCUGUAGCGUCUUUGCUUAGCGACAGGAAUUUUGCAUCAUAAAUUAGCAAAUUGUUUCAGUGAUGAUGUUACCUGAAACAAUAUCAGCAUCUAAGCUUAGUUUUGGUUUAAAUGUAUGCCUGGACUAAGCCGACAAUCAAAUACAUUUUAAACAUGUAGAAAGCAUUUUUAUUCCUUGUUUGGACGAGAGUUCGAAUCUCUCCGGGUCCACUU